UACGUAGGCAGCAAGCGUUGUUCGGAAUUACUGGGCGUAAAGGGUGCGUAGGCGGUUUUGUAAGUUUGGGGUGAGAUCUCCCGGCGUAACUGGGAGGGUGCGCCGAAAACUGCAAGGCUAGAGUGCAGGAGAGGAGAGUGGAAUUCCUGGUGUAGCGGUGAAAUGCGUAGAUAUCAGGAGGAACACCGGUGGUGUAGACGGCUCUCUGGACUGUUACUGACGCUGAGGCACGAAAGCGUGGGGAGCAAACAGG
RNAcentral lists this ribosomal RNA (253 nucleotides) under uncultured bacterium. RNAcentral's name for it is "partial 16S ribosomal RNA". It matches the Rfam family "Bacterial small subunit ribosomal RNA", at positions 524 to 776 of the family's 1533-position model. The record is from RNAcentral.